UAGCGCAGCUUGGUAGCGCAACUGGUUUGGGACCAGUGGGUCGGAGGUUCGAAUCCU
This 57-nucleotide transfer RNA is filed under the name Pectobacterium carotovorum subsp. carotovorum. RNAcentral describes it as "tRNA-Pro". It matches the Rfam family "tRNA", at positions 8 to 61 of the family's 71-position model. Rfam says of the family: Transfer RNA (tRNA) molecules are approximately 80 nucleotides in length. Lineage: Bacteria; Pseudomonadati; Pseudomonadota; Gammaproteobacteria; Enterobacterales; Pectobacteriaceae. The record is from RNAcentral.